UGGUGGGUAGUUUGACUGGGGCGGUCUCCUCCUAAAGAGUAACGGAGGAGCACGAAGGUUGGCUAAUCCUGGUCGGACAUCAGGAGGUUAGUGCAAUGGCAUAAGCCAGCUUGACUGCGAGCGUGACGGCGCGAGCAGGUGCGAAAGCAGGUCAUAGUGAUCCGGUGGUUCUGAAUGGAAGGGCCAUCGCUCAACGGAUAAAAGGUACUCCGGGGAUAACAGGCUGAUACCGCCCAAGAGUUCAUAUCGACGGCGGUGUUUGGCACCUCGAUGUCGGCUCAUCACAUCCUGGGGCUGAAGUAGGUCCCAAGGGUAUGGCUGUUCGCCAUUUAAAGUGGUACGCGAGCUGGGUUUAGAACGUCGUGAGACAGUUCGGUCCCUAUCUGCCGUGGGCGCUGGAGAACUGAGGGGGGCUGCUCCUAGUACGAGAGGACCGGAGUGGACGCAUCACUGGUGUUCGGGUUGUCAUGCCAAUGGCACUGCCCGGUAGCUAAAUGCGGAAGAGAUAAGUGCUGAAAGCAUCUAAGCACGAAACUUGCCCCGAGAUGAGUUCUCCCUGACUCCUUGAGAGUC
This 573-nucleotide ribosomal RNA is filed under the name Escherichia coli. RNAcentral describes it as "partial 23S ribosomal RNA". It matches the Rfam family "Bacterial large subunit ribosomal RNA", at positions 2259 to 2827 of the family's 2925-position model. The record is from RNAcentral. Lineage: Bacteria; Pseudomonadati; Pseudomonadota; Gammaproteobacteria; Enterobacterales; Enterobacteriaceae.